Molecule: ribosomal RNA, 432 nt
Filed under: uncultured bacterium
Lineage: Bacteria
Description: partial 16S ribosomal RNA
Rfam family: Bacterial small subunit ribosomal RNA
Source: RNAcentral
AACGAACGCUGGCGGCAUGCCUAACACAUGCAAGUCGAACGAGACCUUCGGGUCUAGUGGCGCACGGGUGCGUAACGCGUGGGAACCUGCCCCUAGGUUCGGAAUAACUCCCCGAAAGGGGUGCUAAUACCGGAUAAUGUCUUCGGACCAAAGAUUUAUCGCCUUUGGAUGGGCCCGCGUUGGAUUAGCUAGUUGGUAGGGUAAAAGCCUACCAAGGCGACGAUCCAUAGCUGGUCUGAGAGGAUGAUCAGCCACACUGGGACUGAGACACGGCCCAGACUCCUACGGGAGGCAGCAGUGGGGAAUAUUGGACAAUGGGCGAAAGCCUGAUCCAGCAAUGCCGCGUGAGUGAUGAAGGCCUUAGGGUUGUAAAGCUCUUUUACCCGGGAUGAUAAUGACAGUACCGGGAGAAUAAGCUCCGGCUAACUCCGU